RNAcentral lists this small nucleolar RNA (82 nucleotides) under Theileria equi strain WA. RNAcentral describes it as "Small nucleolar RNA Z159/U59". It matches the Rfam family "Small nucleolar RNA Z159/U59". Rfam says of the family: This family consists of several snoRNA Z159 or U59 sequences which are members of the C/D class of snoRNA which contain the C (UGAUGA) and D (CUGA) box motifs. This family seems to be found exclusively in rice. C/D box small nucleolar RNAs are known to act as a methylation guides for 18S ribosomal RNA in plants. The record is from Rfam by way of RNAcentral. Lineage: Eukaryota; Apicomplexa; Aconoidasida; Piroplasmida; Theileriidae.
GUAGAGGUGAUGAUAUUAAAAAUAACUUUCGUUCUUCUGAGGCUCUCAGUGCGGAAAACAUGGAGACCUGAUCUGAUAUUCU